Otolemur garnettii (small-eared galago) is the source of this 104-nucleotide unclassified non-coding RNA. It matches the Rfam family "Y RNA". Rfam says of the family: Y RNAs are components of the Ro ribonucleoprotein particle (Ro RNP), in association with Ro60 and La proteins. The Y RNAs and Ro60 and La proteins are well conserved, but the function of the Ro RNP is not known. The record is from Ensembl. NCBI's taxonomy places the organism in Eukaryota, Metazoa, Chordata, Mammalia, Primates, Galagidae.
GGCUGGUCUGAGGACAGUGGUGUUUUAACAACAAAUUGAUCACAACCAGUUGCAGAUUCCUUUGUUCCUUCUUCACUCCCACUGGUUCACUUGACUAGCCUAAA